Molecule: ribosomal RNA, 253 nt
Filed under: uncultured bacterium
Lineage: Bacteria
Description: partial 16S ribosomal RNA
Rfam family: Bacterial small subunit ribosomal RNA
Source: RNAcentral
UACGGGGGGGGCAAGCGUUGUUCGGAAUUACUGGGCGUAAAGGGCUCGUAGGCGGCCAACUAAGUCGGAUGUGAAAUCCCCAGGCUUAACCUGGGAACUGCGUCUGAUACUGGAUGGCUUGAAUUCGGGAGAGGGAUGCAGAAUUCCAGGUGUAGCGGUGAAAUGCGUAGAUAUCUGGAGGAAUACCGGUGGCGAAGGCGGCAUCCUGGACCGACAUUGACGCUGAGGAGUGAAAGCUAGGGGAGCAAACGGG